This 62-nucleotide transfer RNA is filed under the name Cryptopygus terranovus. RNAcentral's name for it is "tRNA-Arg". Lineage: Eukaryota; Metazoa; Arthropoda; Collembola; Entomobryomorpha; Isotomidae. The record is from RNAcentral.
UAAUAAGAAGUGAAUUAUUGCAGUCAGUUUCGACCUGGAAGUUGGAUUACAUCCCUUAUUUU